RNAcentral lists this ribosomal RNA (253 nucleotides) under uncultured bacterium. RNAcentral's name for it is "partial 16S ribosomal RNA". It matches the Rfam family "Bacterial small subunit ribosomal RNA", at positions 524 to 776 of the family's 1533-position model. The record is from RNAcentral.
UACGGAGGUGGCAAGCGUUGUUCGGAAUUACUGGGCGUAAAGGGCGCGUAGGCGGCGAUUCAAGUGACGGGUGAAAUCCCUCGGCUUAACCGAGGAACUGCCUGUCAGACUGGAUGGCUUGAGACCGGGAGAGGUGAGUGGAAUUCCCAGUGUAGCGGUGAAAUGCGUAGAUAUUGGGAGGAACACCAGUGGCGAAGGCGGCUCACUGGACCGGAACUGACGCUGAGGCGCGAAAGCGUGGGGAGCAAACAGG